UAGUUUGUAGAGUGGUUAGCGUGUCGUUCUUAUAUCUAUCGGGAAUCUGAUAAAUAUGGCUAUGCGAAAGUCGUGGGUUCGACACCCACCUGGAGUAA
This is a non-coding RNA of Bisporella sp. PMI_857, 98 nucleotides long. The record is from the annotation of a GenBank genome assembly. NCBI's taxonomy places the organism in Eukaryota, Fungi, Ascomycota, Leotiomycetes, Helotiales, Helotiaceae.